UGUUUGUCUUCAAGAAACCUGGCUUAA
Molecule: small RNA, 27 nt
Filed under: Bombyx mori (domestic silkworm)
Lineage: Eukaryota; Metazoa; Arthropoda; Insecta; Lepidoptera; Bombycidae
Description: ovarian small RNA-36267
Source: RNAcentral